RNAcentral lists this ribosomal RNA (445 nucleotides) under uncultured bacterium. Its description in RNAcentral is "bacterial SSU rRNA". It matches the Rfam family "Bacterial small subunit ribosomal RNA", at positions 330 to 792 of the family's 1533-position model. The record is from RNAcentral.
GCCAGACUCCUACGGGAGGCAGCAGUGGGGAAUAUUGCACAAUGGGGGAAACCCUGAUGCAGCGACGCCGCGUGAGUGAAGAAGUAUUUCGGUAUGUAAAGCUCUAUCAGCAGGGAAGAAAAUGACGGUACCUGAUUAAGAAGCCCCGGCUAACUACGUGCCAGCAGCCGCGGUAAUACGUAGGGGGCAAGCGUUAUCCGGAUUUACUGGGUGUAAAGGGAGCGUAGACGGUGAUGCAAGUCAGAAGUGAAAGCCCGGGGCUCAACUCCGGGACUGCUUUUGAAACUGUGUAACUGGAGUGCAGGAGAGGUAAGCGGAAUUCCUGGUGUAGCGGUGAAAUGCGUAGAUAUCAGGAGGAACACCAGUGGCGAAGGCGGCUUACUGGACUGUAACUGACGUUGAGGCUCGAAAGCGUGGGGAGCAAACAGGAUUAGAUACCCGAGUA